Molecule: non-coding RNA, 665 nt
Organism: Arachis ipaensis
Lineage: Eukaryota; Viridiplantae; Streptophyta; Magnoliopsida; Fabales; Fabaceae
Source: RefSeq, a predicted model, not a curated record
AGUAAUUUUCUUCUAUGCUUCAACAUCAAUAAACUUUGUAUUUUUUGUGCUAGAGUAAUAUUUUUGUGAUAGAGUUCUAUAUCUUCUAUUGAAUAUGCCGAGUUAAAGAAGCAAAAAGUUUAUGAAGCAAGACUGGAAUUGAUGAGGCAGAAGCUUUGGUAUUACCAAAAAUAUCAUGGCCCAAAAGUUCACAAGCUCUUAGAUCAAAUAAGCUCAUAUUCAAUUACUAUUAUCAAGGAGUUAGGAAAAAUCAUUGUUCUUAACCGAUGUUGCUCAUAUGAUAUCAUCGUAGAUAGUCCCCCUAAAUGGUUCCAUCAAGAAUAAUUUGAUGGACUAGCAGAGGAGGAGGGAAAUUUUUUUUUUUUUUUCGAAAAGCUUCCAAAGAUGCUAUAAGUUUGUAAAAGCUAUAGAAGAAAAAAUCAGCACAAUUAUUUAUUCAAAGAACUAAAAGAAAAUAGUUAUUUCACUAGGUAUGAGCCAUUGACAACUAAAAUAGUUGAUGGUUUAUAUGAUUUAUGCUUUAAGACAUUACAUUUUCUUUAUUUUUGUUUUUGUUUUUGUGUGCGUGUGUGUAAGGAUGUUAACAUGUGCUUGAAUGUUGAUUUGUGUUACUUAAGCAUAUAUGCUUAAGUAGAACAAAAAUGUUGAUUGUGUUGUUGUAUCAA